This 775-nucleotide ribosomal RNA is filed under the name uncultured bacterium. RNAcentral describes it as "bacterial SSU rRNA". It matches the Rfam family "Bacterial small subunit ribosomal RNA", at positions 8 to 796 of the family's 1533-position model. The record is from RNAcentral.
AGAGUUUGAUCCUGGCUCAGAGCGAACGCUGGCGGCGUGCUUAACACAUGCAAGUCGAACGGGUGUAGCAAUACAUCCGUGGCGAACGGGUGCGUAACACGUGGAUAACCUUCCUUCAGGUGGGGAAUAACCCAGUGAAAAUUGGGCUAAUACCGCAUAACAAGACCGGGGCUCAUGCUCUGGCCUUCAAAGCCGCAAGGCGCCAGAAGAGGGAUCCGCGGCCGAUUAGCUUGUUGGCGGGGUAACGGCCCACCAAGGCAAUGAUCGGUAGCCGGAUUGAGAGGUUGGCCGGCCACACUGGAACUGAGACACGGUCCAGACUCCUACGGGAGGCAGCAGUGGGGAAUCUUGCACAAUGGGCGAAAGCCUGAUGCAGCAACGCCGCGUGGGGGAUGAAGCUUCUCGGAGUGUAAACCCCUUUCGACCCGGAAGAAUGCCCGCAAGGGCUUGACGGUACGGGUAUAAGAAGCCCCGGCUAACUACGUGCCAGCAGCCGCGGUAAUACGUAGGGGGCCAGCGUUGCUCGGAAUUACUGGGCGUAAAGGGUCCGUAGGCGGUGUGGCAAGUCGGGAGUGAAAUCUCUGGGCUUAACCCAGAGGCUGCUUCCGAAACUGCCGUGCUAGAGUGUGAGAGAGGCGAGUGGAAUUGCGGGUGUAGCGGUGAAAUGCGUAGAUAUCCGCAGGAACAUCCGAGGCGAAAGCGGCUCGCUGGAUCACAACUGACGCUGAGGGACGAAAGCUAGGGGAGCAAACAGGAUUAGAUACCCCAGUAGUCC